AAAAUAAAAUUGAAUUUAUUUCAUAUUAAAACAAGGGACCUCUGAGUGUGUCACUUCUUGAACCUGGAAGCCAGAAGAACCCAGUUCUCUCGUCUCCUGAGCUGGUGCCAACCCUGCUCCUCUUGCAGGCAUGGAAUCUUCUUCACCAAUGGGGAGAGUCUUAUGCAAAUUAUUUGAGACCUAGAUUACACUGGUAUAGUGGGAAACUCAAAGAUUUAUAAUUUAGAAGACUUAGGUUCUAAUCCUGGCUCUGCCAUUAACUACUUGUGUGACAGAUAAAUAAAAUCAUUUCACUUC
Molecule: long non-coding RNA, 297 nt
Organism: Vombatus ursinus (common wombat)
Lineage: Eukaryota; Metazoa; Chordata; Mammalia; Diprotodontia; Vombatidae
Exons: 2
Source: RefSeq, a predicted model, not a curated record